Molecule: ribosomal RNA, 252 nt
Filed under: uncultured bacterium
Lineage: Bacteria
Description: partial 16S ribosomal RNA
Rfam family: Bacterial small subunit ribosomal RNA
Source: RNAcentral
UACGUAGGUCCCGAGCGUUGUCCGGAUUUAUUGGGCGUAAAGCGAGCGCAGGUGGUUUAUUAAGUCUGGUGUAAAAGGCAAUGGCUCAACCAUUGUAUGCAUUGGAAACUGGUAGACUUGAGUGCAGGAGAGGAGAGUGGAAUUCCAUGUGUAGCGGUGAAAUGCGUAGAUAUAUGGAGGAACACCGGUGGCGAAAGCGGCUCUCUGGCCUGUAACUGACACUGAGGCUCGAAAGCGUAGGGAGCAAACAGG